GGGGCAGUGGUGGAAUGGUAUACACGGCGGUCUUAAAAACCGCUUCCUUCGGGAUUGUGGGUUCGAAUCCCACCUGCCUCAUCA
This 84-nucleotide transfer RNA is filed under the name Anaerolineaceae bacterium. Its description in RNAcentral is "tRNA-Leu". It matches the Rfam family "tRNA". From Rfam's summary of the family: Transfer RNA (tRNA) molecules are approximately 80 nucleotides in length. Their secondary structure includes four short double-helical elements and three loops (D, anti-codon, and T loops). Further hydrogen bonds mediate the characteristic L-shaped molecular structure. tRNAs have two regions of fundamental functional importance: the anti-codon, which is responsible for specific mRNA codon recognition, and the 3' end, to which the tRNAs corresponding amino acid is attached (by aminoacyl-tRNA synthetases). tRNAs cope with the degeneracy of the genetic code in two manners: having more than one tRNA (with a specific anti-codon) for a particular amino acid; and 'wobble' base-pairing, i.e. permitting non-standard base-pairing at the 3rd anti-codon position. Lineage: Bacteria; Bacillati; Chloroflexota; Anaerolineae; Anaerolineales; Anaerolineaceae. The record is from RNAcentral.